AGUGAACGCUGGCGGUAGGCCUAACACAUGCAAGUCGAACGGCAGCACAGUAAGAGCUUGCUCUUACGGGUGGCGAGUGACGGACGGGUGAGGAAUACAUCGGAAUCUACUUUUUCUUGGGGGACAACGUAGGGAAACUUACGCUAAUACCGCAUACGACCUACGGGUGAAAGCAAGGGAUCUUCGGACCUUGCGCGAUUGAUUGAGCCGAUGUCGGAUUAGCUAGUUGGCGGGGUAAAGGCCCACCAAGGCGACGAUCCGUAGCUGAUCUGAGAGGAUGAUCGGCCACACUGGAACUGAGACACGGUCCAGACUCCUACGGGAGGCAGCAGUGGGGAAUAUUGGACAAUGGGCGCAAGCCUGAUCCAGCCAUACCGCGUGGGUGAAGAAGGCCUUCGGGUUGUAAAGCCCUUUUGUUGGGAAAGAAAAGCAGCAGGUUAAUACCCCGCUGUUCUGACGGUACCCAAAGAGUAAGCACCGGCUAACUUCGUG
This 492-nucleotide ribosomal RNA is filed under the name uncultured bacterium. Its description in RNAcentral is "partial 16S ribosomal RNA". It matches the Rfam family "Bacterial small subunit ribosomal RNA", at positions 29 to 507 of the family's 1533-position model. The record is from RNAcentral.